UGGGGCUUCUGUCUCUCCAUGUGAAGAUUACCAACUAUUUGGAGAGAAGGGAUAUAAUUGUGACACAAUAUGUUAAGUCCUGAACAAGGAGCAAGUGUGGACUCUGGAGCCCAGAGAAGACAAGGAUAUUUCUAACAGAGAGGGAGGUUUCAGGAAAGAAUCCACAGUCAAAUUGACAGAAAUCCUAAAAUGCAGGUAGGAUUUCACCAAGCAGAAAAGUGGAGAAGGACAGCAGCAAAGACCUGGCCUGGCUGGGAAACAGAAUUAAGAAGCACAAACGUGAAAAACAGAUACUCAACCAGGGAAGGAUCAGAGGAUCAGUACGGCAAGAGAUCAGCGUGGGUACUCUGGAAAAGCUGGGAUGGAACAUCCCGAGACUACACUCCAUUCGAGAGCCCACUUGGCCCCAGCAGCCUUUCUCCUCUCCUCGCUGGACCACAGAAGCCUGGGAUUUCUAUCAGGUGGAUACGGUUUUAGUCCCUUCUCUCUCUUCCAUGCUGGCCAGGGGAUUGCCAAGCUCCAGGCUCAUCCAUGAAGCUCUAUGUUUGAAAUGGCUACUUGACACAGGACAAUACUGACAUAGCUAAAUUUAUAAGCCUAGAUAUUUUCAACAUUUAUUUUAUUAUCAGCUAUUAUGCUCGAAAACCCUCACCCUAUCACUGAUGCCCUUCACACCUUUAUCCCAUCCUUGACUUAACUGCACUCCUGCUCAGGGGUAAAAAAGGAAGCUCAGGAUGGAUCAAGGGUCAGCAAUGUCUGACAUGCACAUUACUUGGUAAAGUGCAAAAAAAAAGUAAACACUCUUUUUUUCUUUUUG
RNAcentral lists this long non-coding RNA (817 nucleotides) under Equus asinus (donkey). RNAcentral's name for it is "lncRNA (ENSEASG00005025842.1)". Lineage: Eukaryota; Metazoa; Chordata; Mammalia; Perissodactyla; Equidae. The record is from RNAcentral.